CCUACGGGAGGCAGCAGUGAGGAAUAUUGGUCAAUGGACGAGAGUCUGAACCAGCCAAAUCGCGUGAAGGAUGACUGCCCAAAGUGUUGUAAACUUCUUUUAUAAGGGAAUAAAACGAGGCACGUGUGCCUGUUUGCAUGUACUUUAUGAAUAAGCAUCGGCUAACUCCGUGCCAGCAGCCGCGGUAAUACGGAGGAUCCGAGCGUUAUCCGGAUUUAUUGGGUUUAAAGGGAGCGUAGACGGGUUGUUAAGUCAGUUGUGAAAGUUUGCGGCUCAACCGUAAAAUUGCACUUGAUACUGGCAGUCUUGAGUACAGUAGAGGUAGGCGGAAUGCGUGGUGUAGCGGUGAAAUGCUUAGAUAUCACGAAGAACCCCGAUUGCGAAGGCAGCUUACU
RNAcentral lists this ribosomal RNA (395 nucleotides) under uncultured bacterium. RNAcentral's name for it is "partial 16S ribosomal RNA". It matches the Rfam family "Bacterial small subunit ribosomal RNA", at positions 338 to 730 of the family's 1533-position model. The record is from RNAcentral.